Molecule: transfer RNA, 72 nt
Filed under: Veillonella sp.
Lineage: Bacteria; Bacillati; Bacillota; Negativicutes; Veillonellales; Veillonellaceae
Description: tRNA-Leu
Rfam family: tRNA
About the family: Transfer RNA (tRNA) molecules are approximately 80 nucleotides in length. Their secondary structure includes four short double-helical elements and three loops (D, anti-codon, and T loops).
Source: RNAcentral
UCCUCGAUAGCUCAGUCGGUAGAGCAAUCGGCAACCGAUCGGUCGUAGGUUCGAGUCCUACUCGAGGAGCCA